This 758-nucleotide ribosomal RNA is filed under the name uncultured bacterium. RNAcentral describes it as "bacterial SSU rRNA". It matches the Rfam family "Bacterial small subunit ribosomal RNA", at positions 56 to 862 of the family's 1533-position model. The record is from RNAcentral.
UGCAAGUCGUACGAGAGUUUUUAACUCUAGUGGCGGACGGGUGAGUAACACGUGAGAAUUUGCCUUUAGGAGGGGGACAACAAUCGGAAACGAAUGCUAAUACCCCAUAUGCUUUCGAGUGAAAUGGAUUUUAUCCGCCUAGAGAGAAGCUCGCGGCUGAUUAGCUUGUUGGUAAGGUAAGAGCUUACCAAGGCGACGAUCAGUAUCUGGUUUGAGAGGACGAUCAGACACACUGGAACUGAGACACGGUCCAGACUCCUACGGGAGGCAGCAGUGGGGAAUUUUCCGCAAUGGGCGAAAGCCUGACGGAGCAAUACCGCGUGAGGGAAGAAUGCCUAUGGGUUGUAAACCUCUUUUUUCAGGGAGGAAUCAAAUGACGUGUACCUGAAGAAUAAGCAUCGGCUAACUCCGUGCCAGCAGCCGCGGUAAGACGGAGGAUGCAAGUGUUAUCCGGAAUCACUGGGCGUAAAGCGUCUGUAGGUGGUUUAAUAAGUCAACUGUUAAAUCUUGAUGGCUCAACUUCAAAAUCGCAGUCGAAACUACUAGACUAGAGUAUAGUAGAGGUAAAGGGAAUUUCCAGUGGAGCGGUGAAAUGCGUAGAUAUUGGAAAGAACACCGAUGGCGAAAGCACUUUACUGGGCUAUUACUAACACUCAGAGACGAAGCUAGGGUAGCAAUGGGAUUGAUACCCAGUAGUCUAGCUGUAACAAUGGAUCUAGAUGUUGACAGAUCGACUGUGCAGUAUCAGCUACGCGUAG